This 73-nucleotide transfer RNA is filed under the name Actinomycetota bacterium. RNAcentral's name for it is "tRNA-Thr". It matches the Rfam family "tRNA". From Rfam's summary of the family: Transfer RNA (tRNA) molecules are approximately 80 nucleotides in length. The record is from RNAcentral. Lineage: Bacteria; Bacillati; Actinomycetota.
GCCGGAGUAGCUCAGCUGGAAGAGCAACGGAUUUGUAAUCCGUGGGCCGCGGGUUCGAGUCCCGCCUCCGGCU